UACGGAGGGGGCUAGCGUUGUUCGGAAUUACUGGGCGUAAAGCGCACGUAGGCGGCGCUUUAAGUCAGAGGUGAAAGCCCGGGGCUCAACCCCGGAACUGCCUUUGAGACUGGAUUGCUAGAAUCUUGGAGAGGCGAGUGGAAUUCCGAGUGUAGAGGUGAAAUUCGUAGAUAUUCGGAAGAACACCAGUGGCGAAGGCGGCUCGCUGGACAAGUAUUGACGCUGAGGUGCGAAAGCGUGGGGAGCAAACAGG
Molecule: ribosomal RNA, 253 nt
Filed under: uncultured bacterium
Lineage: Bacteria
Description: partial 16S ribosomal RNA
Rfam family: Bacterial small subunit ribosomal RNA
Source: RNAcentral